RNAcentral lists this ribosomal RNA (234 nucleotides) under uncultured Actinomycetales bacterium. RNAcentral's name for it is "partial 16S ribosomal RNA". It matches the Rfam family "Bacterial small subunit ribosomal RNA", at positions 101 to 334 of the family's 1533-position model. The record is from RNAcentral. Lineage: Bacteria; Bacillati; Actinomycetota; Actinomycetes; Actinomycetales.
UGGCAACGGGUGAGUAACACUGGGUGAUCUGCCCUGCACUCUGGGAUAAGCCUGGGAAACUGGGUCUAAUACCGGAUAGGACCAUGCUUUAGUGUGUGUGGUGGAAAAGUUUUUUCGGUGUAGGAUGAGCCCGCGGCCUAUCAGCUUGUUGGUGGGGUAAUGGCCUACCAAGGCGGCGACGGGUAGCCGGACUGAGAGGUUGGUCGGCCACAUUGGGACUGAGAUACGGCCCAG